Molecule: ribosomal RNA, 468 nt
Filed under: uncultured bacterium
Lineage: Bacteria
Description: partial 16S ribosomal RNA
Rfam family: Bacterial small subunit ribosomal RNA
Source: RNAcentral
GACGAACGCUAGCGGCGUGCUUAACACAUGCAAGUCGAACGGAAAGGCCCUGCUUUUGUGGGGUGCUCGAGUGGCGAACGGGUGAGUAACACGUGAGUAACCUGCCCUUGACUUUGGGAUAACUUCAGGAAACUGGGGCUAAUACCGGAUAGGAGCUCCUGCUGCAUGGUGGGGGUUGGAAAGUUUCGGCGGUUGGGGAUGGACUCGCGGCUUAUCAGCUUGUUGGUGGGGUAGUGGCUUACCAAGGCUUUGACGGGUAGCCGGCCUGAGAGGGUGACCGGCCACAUUGGGACUGAGAUACGGCCCAGACUCCUACGGGAGGCAGCAGUGGGGAAUAUUGCACAAUGGGCGGAAGCCUGAUGCAGCAACGCCGCGUGAGGGAUGACGGCCUUCGGGUUGUAAACCGCUUUCGCCUGUGACGAAGCGUGAGUGACGGUAAUGGGUAAAGAAGCACCGGCUAACUACGUG